AGAGUUUGAUCCUGGCUCAGGAUGAACGCUGGCGGCGUGCUUAACACAUGCAAGUCGAACGAUGAUCCGGUGCUUGCAUCGGGGAUUAGUGGCGAACGGGUGAGUAACACGUGAGUAACCUGCCCUUAACUCUGGGAUAAGCCUGGGAAACUGGGUCUAAUACCGGAUAUGACUCCUCAUCGCAUGGUGGGGGGUGGAAAGCUUUUUUGUGGUUUUGGAUGGACUCGCGGCCUAUCAGCUUGUUGGUGAGGUAAUGGCUCACCAAGGCGACGACGGGUAGCCGGCCUGAGAGGGUGACCGGCCACACUGGGACUGAGACACGGCCCAGACUCCUACGGGAGGCAGCAGUGGGGAAUAUUGCACAAUGGGCGCAAGCCUGAUGCAGCGACGCCGCGUGAGGGAUGACGGCCUUCGGGUUGUAAACCUCUUUCAGUAGGGAAGAAGCGAAAGUGACGGUACCUGCAGAAGAAGCGCCGGCUAACUACGUGCCAGCAGCCGCGGUAAUACGUAGGGCGCAAGCGUUAUCCGGAAUUAUUGGGCGUAAAGAGCUCGUAGGCGGUUUGUCGCGUCUGCCGUGAAAGUCCGGGGCUCAACUCCCGGAUCUGCGGUGGGUACGGGCAGACUAGAGUGAUGUAGGGGAGACUGGAAUUCCUGGUGUAGCGGUGAAAUGCGCAGAUAUCAGGAGGAACACCGAUGGCGAAGGCAGGUCUCUGGGCAUUAACUGACGCUGAGGAGCGAAAGCAUGGGGAGCGAACAGGAUUAGAUACCCUGGUAGUCCAUGCCGUAAACGUUGGGCACUA
This 800-nucleotide ribosomal RNA is filed under the name uncultured bacterium. RNAcentral describes it as "bacterial SSU rRNA". It matches the Rfam family "Bacterial small subunit ribosomal RNA", at positions 8 to 818 of the family's 1533-position model. The record is from RNAcentral.